CUGCGUUCAGUUUACGCCGUGCGGUCGGCGUGAAAGGUACGGUUCGUACGCGGCGGACGUGCCAACGGGAAGAAACGUUUUGUGAUCGCAUGUAUCGCGUUCGCGCCGGGCGACUUUCGGUCUCGUAUGAUCUCCGUGAAGCGGACGUGAGCAACGACGAAGAGGCUCCGGGAUCCAGCGCGAUGUCGCGGGAUUAACAAUCCUUCACGGACACAAGUCAGCGCGCAAGUCUCUUCUCGCCCUCUCCUUCUUCCUUUGCAUCUCUCAGUCGGAGGAUACGUCCCGUUUUCGCGUCGGCCGUUUGAACGUCAGCCAAGCACGGCGUGCACUUUUAUCACACCAGCGCACUCGUUACACUACACUUCGAGAUUCGUAACGAUACCAAAGAGUAGGAAAUAGCAUGCCAAGUCAAGACAGGAUAUCGUCGAGCUGCCUUCUCUUGUUGUACCUGAGCACUUCGAUAUGGGUGGUUGUAGGAAAUCCCAUUCGGCACAGGAUGAGACGGGAAGCGGAGAUAGCGUCGACCAACUGGACCGCGUUAGCCGACGAGUGGAUCGCGGCGAAGGCGCGGGCGUCCGAAAGGAUGGACGUGGCGUUGCUGCCGUUCAACGAGAGAUACAGGGAACUUCCACCGACCGCGGCCACGGAGACCUACGUGGUUAACGGCACGAGUCCGGAUCAGAUGGUGCGGUUAAAUUACUCGCGGAUGCUAUGGGAUAUGGAGACGGUGCAGCCGAGUGGGCACCUAUCCGGCUUCGUGGACAAGGCUCUCAAACUGUUGGACCUGAGGCAAGUGAUGAUGGAGGUCGAGACCUCUGUGAUGUCCAAGGUCUCUUGCACCGCAUGCAAGGUUGGCGCCGGUCUGUUGCAACAUUACAUAAAGGUCGGCAAGAGCGACGAGGAGAUUAUGGCCAGCAUCUAUCAAUUCUGCGUGUCGCUCAACAUACAGAGCGCCCGAGUUUGCCACGGUGUCACUCUGCUCUUCGGGGUGGAGGUGAUCUACGUGCUGAAGCAGGUGAGCAUGGGCCCAGCUCAGAUCUGCAGUUUUGUGAUCGGCGACGCGUGCGACGACGCGUUCAAUCCACUCCACGAGUGGGAGGUGGCCUUCCCUCCGGUCAAGAAACCGCCGAUCAAGCCGCCAAUACCACCUCAGGAGACCGCACCGACCUUCAAAGUGUUGCACAUCUCCGACACACACUAUGACCCGUAUUACCAGGAGGGCGCGAAUGCGGAGUGCAACGAGCCGCUCUGCUGCCGAUUGACGAACGGCGCUCCGUUGACCGCCUCGGCGGCGGCAGGUAGAUGGGGCGACUACAGAAAGUGCGACACGCCGAAAAGAACGAUCGACCACAUGCUUAAGCAUAUCACCGAUACGCAUUCGGAUAUCGAUUACAUUCUGUGGACCGGGGACUUGCCGCCGCACGACGUGUGGAAUCAGACGCGGGAGGAAAAUCUGAAGGUCUUGCGUGACACGGUCGCGCAAAUGGUGGAGAUGUUUCCAGGCAUACCGAUAUUUCCGGCCUUGGGAAAUCACGAAAGCGCACCGGUUAACAGCUUUCCCCCGCCUUUCGUGCCCGAAGAAAAUAGUAUUUCCUGGCUGUACGAUGAGCUCGACAAGCACUGGAGACGCUGGUUACCAGCCGGAGUCUCGCACACUGUUCGUCGAGGCGCGUUCUACUCGGUUCUAGUACGACCUGGCUUCAGAAUCCUCUCGGUCAAUAUGAAUUACUGCAACAACAAGAACUGGUGGCUGCUCAUCAACAGUACCGACCCGGUCAGCGAACUGCAGUGGCUCGUGUACGAGCUGCAAGGUGCGGAGAUCAAUGGUGAGAAGGUGCACAUCAUCGGUCAUAUCCCGCCCGGCCACUCAGAUUGUCUCAAAGUAUGGUCAAGGAAUUACUACCAUAUCAUCAACCGCUACGAAUCGACCAUCGUGGCCCAGUUCUUCGGACACACGCACUACGACGAGUUCCAGUUAUUCUACGACACGUCGGACUUGGGUAGAGCGCUCAGUAUUGCCUACGUCGGGCCUUCAGUCUCGCCUUACUACGAUCUUAACCCCGGCUACAGGAUAUAUUACGUGGAUGGCGAUCAUCCGAAGACCACAAGGAUGGUAGUCGACCAUGAAACCUGGGUCAUGAAUCUCAAGGAGGCGAAUCUGUACGACUAUCCAAUCUGGCACAAGAUGUAUAGCGCGCGGCAGGCCUAUCAAAUGUCGUCACUCUUGCCGAAGGAUUGGGACUCCCUGAUUGACAAGAUGACCAAUGAGCCGGCCCUCUUCGAUCUCUAUUACAAGCACUAUUAUAAGAAUUCGCCGGUGAGACCGGCGUGUAAUGAUGAAUGUCGUAAAAGGCUGUUGUGCGAUCUGCGCAGCGGAAGAAGCCACGAUCGGAAGGCUCUGUGCCAGAGCCUGGAAUCGCGGAUCGACGUCGAAACGAGGACGGGUUGGCGCGCGUGGAUCUAUAAGGGGCUCGCAUUAUCGUACGUAAAGGAUAUGUGGUAUCAAAUGUAUUCCGGCAAUAUUGCGACUAACGAAGUUGACUAACUCGGGAUGGACAGACAAAUGGUCGCACGAUCGUUGCGAUUCCAAAUUUCCUUCCUCUUUCCUUAUUUUCUGAAAAAGACUCGCAGGUCUCCGAAGCGCGAUACGUUCGUAGCGACGCAUGCACAAUUGGCAGAGAUCUGUUUUGUACACUUUGCAGACGAUAAUUAUAUUCGCGGUAAUCUCUUUGAAGCGCACGUAAAAGAUGGUGGAAAUUACGAGAAGAUAUGUCUCGUCGACUCACAAUAAUACGAAAACGUUUUAACUCCCUGAUCGCGUCUAAAAGCAACUAAUGAUUAGUCUAAUAAGUGUCUGAUAAGAGUUACCUGAAUUGUUGCAAUCGCAAAUGUAGUUAGUAGUAAGCACAAUAACUCCGCUUGAUUGCGGCACGAGAUAUCGGCUCAAUUAGCUCACAGAAAAAAUACUAAUAAUCUGUAAUAGUUAUUAAUAGGUAACAGGUCGUAACUUGAUAUACAGACUGAUCGAUUGAUAUGUAUAUUAAUAUCUACGUAUAUUAGUUAUUACAUCGAAUUUUAAUGCAUAUAUUAAUGACGUAUCGAGAAUACACGCUCGUCAUUUACGUGACAGCCAUAUUUUUAUAAUAUAAGGCGACCAUAUGUAAUUUCUCAAUAUCGUUGUUUUUUCUUAACACGAAGAUAUUGAGAUUUUUAUCGGUAGGAAUUAAGUGUUAUUUCGUACAAUUCGUUUAGUUUAGUUUGUUCUAGAUAACUUGUAUUUAUGCGUGUUUGUGCUGAACAAGCGUAAAGACAUUGGUUCGGUAAUUUCUAACUCGACUAGUGUUAACGAAGCAAUAGUAGCUGAACGGUAAUAAAAUAUUACUACUACGAAGCAAUAUUGCUCAUAAUAUCAAAUGUUAUAUCGUAAAAUUUUCGAAAGAAAAAUUUAGUCAGUCGUGUGCCAAUAUUUAUCAAAUCGGUAAAUCGGAAAAUGAUCCUCUUAAGCAAAACUGUUUUCAUCUGCACUUAUAUUAAUAUUCGUUGUGAGAAAUUUUAAUAAUUAUAUCCCCCAGUCACGUAUUUUUUCUUUCAUUAAAUUAAUUCAUAUUCUUAUUUCGUCUUCAGACUAACGUGAACCAAAAUAUGCUUUCGUUUUUUUUCAGUUGAUUAAUUAACAUACUAUGUAGAGCUAAGUUUCUUAAAAUUUAAAGGGAGACGUAAAUUUAAUAACAAAUUUAACAAAAGUUGAUUUUUUAUCUUAAGCUUCAGUAGUUAGCCCAAAGAAGUCUAACACGCGAAUGUCGACCGACUGCAUUUAGUAGUAUCUAAGCAUCUAUUGAUAUAUCGCUUUACUUAGACUGCAUGCGUGCGUGUUGUACACAUCGUUCAAGCGAGCUAUCCGUGCUUGAUGAAAGAAUUAUGCGUGCGAGUGACCGUGUAACAUCUGCAUGAGAAAAAGAGAGAGGCAAAAAAAGAAAGAGACAGAAAUCCAAAGUACUAAUUCUUUCUUUAACGGUGAACAAUAAUGAAGUUGUCCGAUUCUUCGUGUGUUUCAGAGGUUUCUUCGCGAAACAUGUCGCGUUCUGAUUCGCUUGCAGACAACGCGAACUUCCGCGAGUGUUGUAUUCGUAUCGAAACAAAGAUAAAAACACAAAAUUGUGCGCACGUCAUGAAUAAAAUCAUAAUACCUUAUCUUAACGAUAUACAUACGCGCACACAUAUGUAUAUUCUUGUAAAUACGUUCUUUCUUAACAGUCUUUUUUCAAUAAAAAAUGUAAACAGAAGGAAACGGUGUUGGGGCUUUCGAGUCACUGACGCGAUGCGUCCAAUUGUUCACGCUGCAAAUAUUUUAUAUAUAAUACACAUAAUUAGUUUGCUGUAAAAAUAUUUCUUAAUGCUUCAGCUGAUUUUUCAGCAAACGCGUCACCAGCACAUCGUAAUUAAUUGACUACAUCGUCGCUGCUUCGCGACAGCGCGCGAGAACACACUUAGCUUUCCUGACUUAUGAAUCUAAUUCAAAGAGGAGCGGCGUUUCAGCAGUGGUUUCACCUCGCCGGAAGGCGUCAAUAUAAUUUGUACAUGCUUAAACAAAGUCUGUAAUCGGUAACCUUGUUUGGUGGCGGAGCGUAACACGGUGGUUGAGAUUUCUAUCGUCGUACACUGCGCAUCGGUAGAUGUCCGUAGUGAUGGCCAUCCCCAGGUUCGCGUACAAUCUACCAAAGUACGUUCUAGGACUGGGUUAGAACGCGGAAACAGCUAUGCCGUCAAGCGCAAAUGUGUGACUCAACUUGUGAUGUUAAAUUAUUUAAAUGCUCGCGUCGUCGCAACGCUCGAAACGCGCGAGCCUCAAUGUCGUUGACGACCGACGAUUGCAUUCGUCGGAACUGAUUGUCGCGUGUUCGCGACUUGUAGAAUCUAACGCGUAUCUAAUCUCCCAAAACGGGAAAGAAACGAUUCUCCCAGUAAACUCAAACUAUCAGUAACAUGACAUAUAAUCAAUGUUAUAAUUUACCACUCAGCAAUGUAAAUGCGAUGUAACACGUGUGUUUAACUUAACAGUUACAAUGAUUGCAUUCAGCAGAACAAACUGCUUUGCUACUAUAAAAUUCAUGAAUCUAAUUGAACUGUGUUCUUAAAUUCAACCAAGAUUAAGAACAUACAUCAAUCAGAUCUACGAAUUUUAUAAUAAUUGCAAAGCAGCUUUCUCUGUUGAACGCAGUCAAUAUUACUGUUAGUUGGUGUUUACUGGGCUGUGAUGAGCGAAUGAUAGGAUGGUUAGGAUAGAUAUUAAGUGGCCGAUCAGACUUGUAUUAGUUAAUCUGUCUUUUAUCGGUCACUCCCUAAUCAGUAAACGUAAUAACUUUUUAUUUUUGAUAAAAUAUAGAUCAGAUAUAAAAAUCUGAGAAAAUAUCGAAUAAGAAUAAGGAUACGUCGCGAUACCUUCGUUACAUUAUGUGUGACGUUACAGAGACGAUUUUUACUCGCGCGUUUGUGUAAGAUAUGUAAAUAUAAACAAUUAUAAUCGCGCGAGUCGACGUGAGUAAUAAAAUUUGUUUCUCUCAUGUUAAUGUUGACGAGUGAUCGAUUGAUUAUUAAUCAACAGCACGUAUUUGAAUGCGAAGUCCUUCCGUUUAAUGUACGCGCGUUCGAUACUCAUAACUCGCAUUUUUAUUAUAUUGUAGUAUAUCAAUAAUCUCAACUGAUUAUUUGACGGACAAUAUUGAAUAUUCAAUAUAAAACAAGCAUUAAAUGCGGGCUACAAUCAUGAAUCUCAUGAUCUCUACGGUGAAUUAUACAAAAUACAGUAAAACGUAUUAGAACACGAA
Odontomachus brunneus is the source of this 5825-nucleotide RNA transcript. It is a transcript of the gene named sphingomyelin phosphodiesterase, with no coding region annotated. The transcript is spliced from 10 exons. The record is from RefSeq and is a predicted model, not a curated record. NCBI's taxonomy places the organism in Eukaryota, Metazoa, Arthropoda, Insecta, Hymenoptera, Formicidae.